GAGCUGGGUUCAGAACGUCGUGAGACAGUUCGGUCCCUAUCCAUCGUGGGCGCAGGAUAUAUGAGAGGAGCUGUUCCUAGUACGAGAGGACCGGGAUGGACGUACCUCUGGUGCAUCAGUUGUCAUGCCAAUGGCACAGCUGGGUAGCGAAGUACGGAUCGGAUAAACGCUGAAGGCAUCUAAGCGUGAAACCGACCUCAAGAAGAGAUAUCCCACUGCGUAAGCAGGUAAGCCCCCUUGCAGACUACAAGGUAGAUAGGUCGGAGGUGGAAGAGCGGUAACGCUUGGAGCUGACCGAUACUAAUAGGGCGAGGGCUUGAUCAAA
Molecule: ribosomal RNA, 325 nt
Filed under: Selenomonadales bacterium
Lineage: Bacteria; Bacillati; Bacillota; Negativicutes; Selenomonadales
Description: bacterial LSU rRNA
Rfam family: Bacterial large subunit ribosomal RNA
Source: RNAcentral